GGAGGGGUUCCCGAGUGGCCAAAGGGGGCAGACUGUAAAUCUGUUGGCUCAGCCUUCGAUGGUUCGAAUCCAUCUCCCUCCA
Molecule: transfer RNA, 82 nt
Filed under: Mahella australiensis 50-1 BON
Lineage: Bacteria; Bacillati; Bacillota; Clostridia; Mahellales; Mahellaceae
Rfam family: tRNA
About the family: Transfer RNA (tRNA) molecules are approximately 80 nucleotides in length. Their secondary structure includes four short double-helical elements and three loops (D, anti-codon, and T loops). Further hydrogen bonds mediate the characteristic L-shaped molecular structure. tRNAs have two regions of fundamental functional importance: the anti-codon, which is responsible for specific mRNA codon recognition, and the 3' end, to which the tRNAs corresponding amino acid is attached (by aminoacyl-tRNA synthetases). tRNAs cope with the degeneracy of the genetic code in two manners: having more than one tRNA (with a specific anti-codon) for a particular amino acid; and 'wobble' base-pairing, i.e. permitting non-standard base-pairing at the 3rd anti-codon position.
Source: Rfam by way of RNAcentral